CAUUUUGUUUGGGGCAAAUCAUCAUCUAUUUAUGGCAGACCCGACAUGACUACUAAGAAUCAUCCAUUAUCAUAAGCUCACAUCAAUUCAUAUGUAAUAGGUGACCACAUUUGGUAA
Populus trichocarpa (black cottonwood) is the source of this 117-nucleotide non-coding RNA. The record is from Rfam. Lineage: Eukaryota; Viridiplantae; Streptophyta; Magnoliopsida; Malpighiales; Salicaceae.